Long non-coding RNA from Gopherus flavomarginatus (Mexican gopher tortoise), 2146 nucleotides. RefSeq lists it as uncharacterized. The record is from RefSeq and is a predicted model, not a curated record. The transcript has 2 exons. NCBI's taxonomy places the organism in Eukaryota, Metazoa, Chordata, Testudines, Testudinidae.
GACAGAACAAGGAGUAAUGGUCUCAAGUUGCAGUGGGGGAGGUUUAGGAAACACUGUUUCACUGGGAGGGUGGUGAAGCACUGGAAUGGGUUCCCUAGGGAGGUGGUGGAAUCUCCAUCCUUAGAGAUUUUUAAGGUCAGGCUUGACAAAGCCCUGGCUGAGAUGAUUUAGUUGGGGUUGAUCCUGUUUUAAGCAGGGGGUUGGACUAGAUACCCCCUGAGGUCCCUUCCAAUCCUGAUCUUCUAUGGUUAUAUGAUGGUUUCUCAUUCCUGCUGCCUCACCCUAGAGCUUGGCCCAUAAUGUUGUGAAGAAGCAUGGGGGUCUGUGCUGGUUUAACCUGAGAGAUUUGCUCCUUUACCUCACCCAGAAGCAGGGCACCUGCCUCAGGAUCCCCAAACUCAUUAAACUUCUCUCCAGGCUAGAGGAGAGAGCUAACAUGGAGCGUGAGCAGCUGGGAAUGAUUGCAUGGACAGCAUGCCAGGUGGAGGAGCUUCUCUCCAGUACCAUCCACAGGGAGUGACUUGGGCUCCAUCCCUCCAUGAGUGGGUCAAAAGCAACUCCCCACCCAAAUGCACCGAGGGAAGGUGUGUCCCAUUCCCAGCUCCAAGAACAAAACCUCUUCUCCCCCUUUACUGAAGAGGAACUUGAACUAGCUAAGGCAGCUGCAGAACAGCCUCUCUUACCUUCCAUUUCCACAUUGCUUUGAACGCACAGACUCGGGAUGCCUGAUUUGCAGGAUUGUGUGCCCCCCUGGAUGUAGCUUCAAACACAGCCAGAGAGAGCAGCUGGAUUUUCAUUCGAGCGCCAGAGCCACCUGCAAUGAGUGUGCUGGAAAUUGGCUGAGCUAGACACACAAAGGCACCUGUAGGCAAAUGCAGUUGCCCUUUAGCUCCUGUCCAACCAUUUCUAGGAGUCCAGCACAGGCCAGUUUGGUAGUGGUAGAUACCCAGUUUUAGACAUGUUGACCUCUGGGCCUGCCCACCCACUCGUAAUACAGAGACACCCCUGCUCUCUUCUUUAGCAUGGCAUACAGGCUGGAUAAGUGCAGACACGGGUCACUAGCCUGCCUGUCAAGGGCUAAAUACCAUCUCCCACUGCGUCUUGUGCUGCCUGUUUGCCCUCCGGAGGGCAUUUUCUGUGCCGUGAUGAAGCACAGGACCGAGACAGGAUUACAGCUAUGAUGGGGCCCAUGUGAAAACUCUCCAGCCGUCUCAGCUGCUCUCAUUAAGAAACCUCCCUGGUGGGUUGGAAAUUUGACACAGACAGUUUGGGAUCACAUCUCGCCACUUGGUCAGCUUUGAAUUUUGAUUUAGACCUAAGAAAACUCCCCAGGCAGUGCCCCCAAUCAGUGGCGUGCAGACAGCUCCGCAUGUGCCUGCGCAUGAGUGCCGGGGGUGGCGCUGAGCUCUCAAUGCCUAAGUGCCGCUUUGACGCAUCUGUUGCGCGUGGACAUCUAAAAAUCUCACGCACACUCAAUCUGCUGCUGCCAAGAACCUCACGAUCUUCUUAGCACAAAAACCAAGUAAGGCUGUAAACAAACACUGAUGAGAACCACGAAGCUAGCAGUGGUGUCUGCCCUCUGCCUUGGUACGAGGGGCUGGAUCACUCCCACAGCCUCAUCGCGUUGCUGCAACCUCAGAUGUAUAUUUCUAUUGUUCUUUGUAUGUUGGUAUGUAAGUAUUUACAUAGGAACGUAUGUAGGUGUGUGCAGGUGUGUGUGAGUCACCAAGGGGACUAUUUACUAUCAGUGUGAGCAACGACCGGGCAGAUUCCAGAGGGGGAUAGCAGGUUGGUAUUUUUUUUAAUUGAUCAGCUGAUUGACUGACAAGGUGAGGGCUUUGAUUAGGACCAAAUUUUUGUGCCUGUUGUUAUGGUGAUUUAUUUAAGAAUCAAAAGUUUCCUGUAUGGUGGCCCGUCCUUGUCACUCUAUACAUAUGAAUAUACAGGACAUAUUAUAAAUAUAUAGAUAUUAUACAUACUGUGUUGGGAAAGGUCAUUGUCCCCACACCCCCUCUGGCUUUGGAUGGAGACUUCUUCAAUACUCUGUAAGGUAGCUUUGAUGUGCUGGAAAUGAACAGAAAGUGCCAGCACCAUUCAAAAUGGCAACAAGGACAACAAUAAAGGAAUGAGCAUCAUUGCAAAGAUG